UACGGAGGGUGCAAGCGUUAAUCGGAAUUACUGGGCGUAAAGGGCGCGUAGGCGCCUAUCAAGUCAGGUGUGAAAUCCCACGGCUCAACCGUGGAGGUGCAUCUGAAACUGAUAGGCUUGAGUAUGGGAGAGGAAAGUGGAAUUCCCGGUGUAGAGGUGAAAUUCGUAGAUAUCGGGAGGAACACCAGUGGCGAAGGCGACUUUCUGGACCAAUACUGACGCUGAGGCGCGAAAGCGUGGGGAGCAAACAGGAUUAGAUACCCCCGUA
RNAcentral lists this ribosomal RNA (268 nucleotides) under uncultured prokaryote. RNAcentral describes it as "partial 16S ribosomal RNA". It matches the Rfam family "Bacterial small subunit ribosomal RNA", at positions 524 to 792 of the family's 1533-position model. The record is from RNAcentral.